This 113-nucleotide ribosomal RNA is filed under the name uncultured bacterium. RNAcentral's name for it is "partial 16S ribosomal RNA". It matches the Rfam family "Bacterial small subunit ribosomal RNA", at positions 1361 to 1482 of the family's 1533-position model. The record is from RNAcentral.
CGUGAAUACGUUCCCGGACCUUGCACACACCGCCCGUCAAGCCAUGGAAGCUGGGUGUACCUAAAGUCGGUAACCGUAAGGAGCCGCCUAGGGUAAAACUAGUGACUGGGGCU